GACGAACGCUGGCGGCGUGCUUAACACAUGCAAGUCGAACGGAAAGGCCCUGCUUUUGUGGGGUGCUCGAGUGGCGAACGGGUGAGUAACACGUGAGUAACCUGCCCCUGACUUUGGGAUAACUUCAGGAAACUGGGGCUAAUACCGGAUAGGAGCUCCUGCCGCAUGGUGGGGGUUGGAAAGGUUCGGCGGUUGGGGAUGGACUCGCGGCUUAUCAGCUUGUUGGUGGGGUAGUGGCUUACCAAGGCGUUGACGGGUAGCCGGCCUGAGAGGGUGACCGGCCACAUUGGGACUGAGAUACGGCCCAGACUCCUACGGGAGGCAGCAGUGGGGAAUAUUGCACAAUGGGCGGAAGCCUGAUGCAGCAACGCCGCGUGCGGGAUGACGGCCUUCGGGUUGUAAACCGCUUUCGGCUGUGACGAAGCGUGAGUGACGGUAAUGGGUAAAGAAGCACCGGCUAACUACGUG
Molecule: ribosomal RNA, 468 nt
Filed under: uncultured bacterium
Lineage: Bacteria
Description: partial 16S ribosomal RNA
Rfam family: Bacterial small subunit ribosomal RNA
Source: RNAcentral